RNAcentral lists this ribosomal RNA (725 nucleotides) under uncultured bacterium. RNAcentral's name for it is "bacterial SSU rRNA". It matches the Rfam family "Bacterial small subunit ribosomal RNA", at positions 9 to 743 of the family's 1533-position model. The record is from RNAcentral.
UAGUUUGAUCCUGGCUCAGGACGAACGCUGGCGGCGUGCUUAACACAUGCAAGUCGAACGAGGUCCAUCCAGUGGCAACACUGGUGAAGAUCUAGUGGCGAACGGGUGCGUAACACGUGAGGAACCUGCCCCGGACUCUGGAAUAACAGUGGGAAACCACUGCUAAUACCAGAUGUCUCCACCAUCUCGCAGGGGAAGGUGAAGAAAGAUUUAUCGGUUCGGGAGGGUCUCGCGGCCUAUCAGCUUGUUGGCGGGGUAACGGCCCACCAAGGCGUCGACGGGUAGCUGGUCUGAGAGGAUGAUCACCCACACUGGGACUGAGACACGGCCCACACUCCUACGGGAGGCAGCAGUGGGGAAUCUUGCGCAAUGGGCGAAAGCCUGACGCAGCAACGCCGCGUGGGGGAUGAAGGCCCUCGGGUUGUAAACCCCUUUCAGCAGGAACGAAAAUGACGGUACCUGCAGAAGAAGGCCCGGCCAACUACGUGCCAGCAGCCGCGGUAACACGUAGGGGCCAAGCGUUGUCCGGAUUUAUUGGGCGUAAAGAGCUCGUAGGCGGUUCAGUUAGUCGGGUGUGAAAACUCUGGGCUCAACUCAGACACGCCACCCGAUACUGCUGUGACUUGAGUCCGGUAGGGGAGCAGGGAAUUCCAGGUGUAGCGGUGAAAUGCACAUAUAUCUGGAGGAACACCGGUGGCGAAGGCUCUGCUCUGGGCCGGUACUGA